AGAAAGUCCCCGUGGUGCAUCCGACUUUUUCUUUCGGUUUUUCUCUAUUUUGUUUUGCUAAAAAUGUAUGAUUCUAUAACGUUUAGACCGUCAGGCCAAACUUGGCAUGUGAUACCUUUUCGGAAGCCCAAAGAGAGCUCUCCGAUGAAUGAGGAAGCAAAAUGGAAUUCUUCUAUUGUUUUUUUUUUCUAUUCCAAAUUUUGAGCUUAAUGUACUUUUUCGGGCCUUUUCGUGAUCUUUGCUAUAUUACGGGGCGAAAAUUAUAUGUUUGGACAUUGUUUUCGAAUAUUUUGCAUGUAUCAAAGCUCAGAUAAACAAGAUAGGGUAUUCCUACAUACCUGGUGGGACCCACGGCAAAUGGAUAGUAAAAUCUUCAAAAAAGAAUAGAUACUAUUGCAUUGCAUGUAGUAAUGGAUGCGAUCAUAUCAGCACUAACGCACCGGAUCCCAUCAAAACUCCACAGUUAAGCGUGUUUGGGCGAGAGUAGUACUAGGAUGGGGGACCUACCAAAAAGUCCUCGUGGUGCAUCCCACUUUUUCUUUCGGUUUUUCUCUAUUUUGUUUUGUUAAAAAUGUAUGACUCUAUAACGUUUAGACCGUCAGGCCAAACUUGGCAUGUGAUACCUUUUCGGAAAGCCCAAAGAGAGCUCUCCGAUGAAUGAGGAAGCAAAAUGAAAUUCUUCUAUUGUUUUUUUUUCUAUUCCAAAUUUUGACCUUAAUGUAGUUUUUCGGGCCUUUUCGUGAUCUUUGCUAUGUUCGGACAUUGUUUUCGAAUAUUUUUCAUGUAUCAAAGCUCUUAUAAACAAGAUAUCGUAUUCCUACAUGGCUGGUGUGACCCACGACAAAUGGAUCAUAAAGUUUUCAAAAAAGAAUAGAUACGAUUGCAUUGCAUGUAGUAAACGGAUGCGAUCAUACCAGCACUAAUGCACCGGAUCCCAUCAAAACUCUACACUUAAGCGUGCUUGGGAGAGAGUAGUACUAGGAUGGGUGACCUCCAAGAAAGUCCUCGUGUUGCAUCCCUCUUUUCUUUUUUCGGUUUUUCUCUAUGUUUUUUUGUUAAAAUUGUAUGACUCUUUAACUUUUAGACCGUGAGGCCAAACUUCGCAUGUGAUACCUUUUCAGAAAGCCCAAAGAGAGCUCUCCGGUGAAUGAGGAAGGAAAAUUGAAUUUUUCUAUUGGUUUUUUUUUCUACUCCAAAUUUUGACGUUAAUGUACUUUUUGGGGCCUUUUCGUGAUCUUUGCUAUAUUACGGAGCGAAAAUUAUAUGUUUGGACAUUGUUUUCGAAUAUUUUGCAUGUAUCAAAGCUCUGAUAAACAAGAUAGGGUAUUCCUACAUAGCUGGUGGGACCCACGGCAAAUGGAUCGUAAAGUCUUCGAAAAAGAAUAGAUACGAUUGCAUUGCAUGUAGUAACGGAUGCGAUCAUACCAGCACUAACGCACCGGAUCCCAUCAAAACUGUGCAGUUAAGCGUGUUUGGGCGAGACUAGUACUAGGAUGGGUGACCUCACGGAAAGUCCUCGUGUUGGAUCCCUCUUUUCUUUUUUCGAUUUUUGUCCUCUUUUUUUUGUUAAGAAUGUAUGACUCUAUUACUUUUAGACAGUGAGGCCAAACUUCGCAUGUGAUACCUUUUCGGAAAGCCCAAAAAGAGCUCUCUGAUGAAUGAGGAAGGAAAAUUGAAUUCUUCUAUUC
This 1688-nucleotide small RNA is filed under the name Arabidopsis thaliana (thale cress). Lineage: Eukaryota; Viridiplantae; Streptophyta; Magnoliopsida; Brassicales; Brassicaceae. The record is from RNAcentral.